CACGUAGGGGGCGAGCGUUGUCCGGAAUUAUUGGGCGUAAAGAGCUCGUAGGCGGCGUGUCGCGUCGGCCGUGAAAACCUGCAGCUUAACUGUGGGCUUGCGGUCGAUACGGGCAUCACUGGAGUUCGGCAGGGGAGACUGGAAUUCCUGGUGUAGCGGUGAAAUGCGCAGAUAUCAGGAGGAACACCGGUGGCGAAGGCGGGUCUCUGGGCCGAUACUGACGCUGAGGAGCGAAAGCGUGGGGAGCGAACAGG
Molecule: ribosomal RNA, 254 nt
Filed under: uncultured bacterium
Lineage: Bacteria
Description: partial 16S ribosomal RNA
Rfam family: Bacterial small subunit ribosomal RNA
Source: RNAcentral